RNAcentral lists this ribosomal RNA (1388 nucleotides) under uncultured Staphylococcus sp. Its description in RNAcentral is "bacterial SSU rRNA". It matches the Rfam family "Bacterial small subunit ribosomal RNA", at positions 23 to 1392 of the family's 1533-position model. Lineage: Bacteria; Bacillati; Bacillota; Bacilli; Caryophanales; Staphylococcaceae. The record is from RNAcentral.
CUCAGGAUGAACGCUGGCGGCGUGCCUAAUACAUGCAAGUCGAGCGAACGGACGAGAAGCUUGCUUCUCUGAUGUUAGCGGCGGACGGGUGAGUAACACGUGGAUAACCUACCUAUAAGACUGGGAUAACUUCGGGAAACCGGAGCUAAUACCAGAUAAUAUUUUGAACCGCAUGGUUCAAAAGUGAAAGACGGUCUUGCUGUCACUUAUAGAUGGAUCCGCGCUGCAUUAGCUAGUUGGUAAGGUAACGGCUUACCAAGGCAACGAUGCAUAGCCGACCUGAGAGGGUGAUCGGCCACACUGGAACUGAGACACGGUCCAGACUCCUACGGGAGGCAGCAGUAGGGAAUCUUCCGCAAUGGGCGAAAGCCUGACGGAGCAACGCCGCGUGAGUGAUGAAGGUCUUCGGAUCGUAAAACUCUGUUAUUAGGGAAGAACAUAUGUGUAAGUAACUGUGCACAUCUUGACGGUACCUAAUCAGAAAGCCACGGCUAACUACGUGCCAGCAGCCGCGGUAAUACGUAGGUGGCAAGCGUUAUCCGGAAUUAUUGGGCGUAAAGCGCGCGUAGGCGGUUUUUYAAGUCUGAUGUGAAAGCCCACGGCUCAACCGUGGAGGGUCAUUGGAAACUGGAAAACUUGAGUGCAGAAGAGGAAAGUGGAAUUCCAUGUGUAGCGGUGAAAUGCGCAGAGAUAUGGAGGAACACCAGUGGCGAAGGCGACUUUCUGGUCUGUAACUGACGCUGAUGUGCGAAAGCGUGGGGAUCAAACAGGAUUAGAUACCCUGGUAGUCCACGCCGUAAACGAUGAGUGCUARGUGUUAGGGGGUUUCCGCCCCUUAGUGCUGCAGCUAACGCAUUAAGCACUCCGCCUGGGGAGUACGACCGCAAGGUUGAAACUCAAAGGAAUUGACGGGGACCCGCACAAGCGGUGGAGCAUGUGGUUUAAUUCGAAGCAACGCGAAGAACCUUACCAAAUCUUGACAUCCUUUGACAACUCUAGAGAUAGAGCCUUCCCCUUCGGGGGACAAAGUGACAGGUGGUGCAUGGUUGUCGUCAGCUCGUGUCGUGAGAUGUUGGGUUAAGUCCCGCAACGAGCGCAACCCUUAAGCUUAGUUGCCAUCAUUAAGUUGGGCACUCUAAGUUGACUGCCGGUGACAAACCGGAGGAAGGUGGGGAUGACGUCAAAUCAUCAUGCCCCUUAUGAUUUGGGCUACACACGUGCUACAAUGGACAAUACAAAGGGCAGCGAAACCGCGAGGUCAAGCAAAUCCCAUAAAGUUGUUCUCAGUUCGGAUUGUAGUCUGCAACUCGACUACAUGAAGCUGGAAUCGCUAGUAAUCGUAGAUCAGCAUUCUACGGUGAAUACGUUCCCGGGUCUUGUACACACCG